Molecule: ribosomal RNA, 253 nt
Filed under: uncultured bacterium
Lineage: Bacteria
Description: partial 16S ribosomal RNA
Rfam family: Bacterial small subunit ribosomal RNA
Source: RNAcentral
UACAGAGGUCCCAAGCGUUGUUCGGAUUCACUGGGCGUAAAGGGUGCGUAGGUGGUCGGGUAAGUUUGAUGUGAAAGCUCCGAGCUUAACUCGGAAAUUGCAUUGAAUACUAUUCGGCUAGAGGGUUGGAGGGGGGACUGGAAUUCUCGGUGUAGCAGUGAAAUGCGUAGAUAUCGAGAGGAACACCAGUGGCGAAGGCGGCAUCCUGGACCGGCAUUGACGCUGAGGCGCGAAAGCCAGGGGAGCAAACGGG